Molecule: long non-coding RNA, 220 nt
Filed under: Citrus sinensis (sweet orange)
Lineage: Eukaryota; Viridiplantae; Streptophyta; Magnoliopsida; Sapindales; Rutaceae
Description: long non-coding RNA (CSIN_LNC005213)
Source: RNAcentral
GUUUAUCAAUUUCUUUUUUAGGAGAAGUUUGGCUUUGAGAAAGGUUUUGUAGGGCGAGCAUGAGCUCUGGAGAUUUUGUAAUGGAACUCAUCCAUUGCUUUACUUGGUCAUCAGAAGAAAUAGAUUUGUAUUGGGCUCCAUGUUCUUCAACCAUUUCAAUCCAAGAUUUAAUGGGCAUGGCAGAAUAAAGUAGUUUUUCUUUAGAAGGGGUUGACUGGGG